UAGGGAAUCUUCCGCAAUGGGCGAAAGCCUGACGGAGCAACGCCGCGUGAGUGAUGAAGGUCUUCGGAUCGUAAAACUCUGUUAUUAGGGAAGAACAAAUGUGUAAGUAACUAUGCACGUCUUGACGGUGCCUAAUCAGAAAGCCACGGCUAACUACGUGCCAGCAGCCGCGGUAAUACGUAGGUGGCAAGCGUUAUCCGGAAUUAUUGGGCGUAAAGCGCGCGUAGGCGGUUUUUUAAGUCUGAUGUGAAAGCCCACGGCUCAACCGUGGAGGGUCAUUGGAAACUGGAAAACUUGAGUGCAGAAGAGGAAAGUGGAAUUCCAUGUGUAGCGGUGAAAUGCGCAGAGAUAUGGAGGAACACCAGUGGCGAAGGCGACUUUCUGGUCUGUAACUGACGCUGAUGUGCGAAAGCGUGGGGAUCAAACAGG
RNAcentral lists this ribosomal RNA (429 nucleotides) under Actinomycetes bacterium. RNAcentral's name for it is "Actinobacteria bacterium partial 16S ribosomal RNA". It matches the Rfam family "Bacterial small subunit ribosomal RNA", at positions 355 to 776 of the family's 1533-position model. The record is from RNAcentral. Lineage: Bacteria; Bacillati; Actinomycetota; Actinomycetes.